This 72-nucleotide transfer RNA is filed under the name Heterocephalus glaber (naked mole-rat). It matches the Rfam family "tRNA". From Rfam's summary of the family: Transfer RNA (tRNA) molecules are approximately 80 nucleotides in length. Their secondary structure includes four short double-helical elements and three loops (D, anti-codon, and T loops). The record is from Rfam by way of RNAcentral. Lineage: Eukaryota; Metazoa; Chordata; Mammalia; Rodentia; Bathyergidae.
UGGGGUGUGGCUCAGCAGCAGAACACUUGCCUCAUGUGCUUGAGGGUCUGGGUUUGAUCCCCAGCACCACAG